Molecule: small nuclear RNA, 22 nt
Filed under: Arabidopsis thaliana (thale cress)
Lineage: Eukaryota; Viridiplantae; Streptophyta; Magnoliopsida; Brassicales; Brassicaceae
Description: snRNA_11552
Source: RNAcentral
AUUGGUCCGUAAAUUACCCAUU